CAAUUUGGAAACCAUUUCAGACCAGGGGCAGCCCCAGAAACCCAGUCUAGCUCGGGAUAAAUUGAUAGUCAGUGGACGCUGCGUGUUGAACUAUAAGAACUUUUGUCCUCUGAGAACCAAAAAUCUACUUCUGGGAUGAAAAGCGCUCUCACUUCUGAUUUUCAGGACUGUGAGAGUUGGAUUCCUCUGUGAACAUCCGGAUCAGUGGGCACAGCUGCAUUUCAUUGGGAACAGAAGCACACAGAGAGCCCGGGGCAAGGUACACAGCUGGAUUCAGAGUCUCUAAGUUCCAGAUGUCCUGGCAAAGCAUCAAGGGGUUGCUAUGGAAGCUGCUCAUCCCAUCAUCGCUAGCCUUGGAAGGGACUUCUGGGCACCACAGGUCCUUAUCAUUCGCUUUGUGGGCAACGACUGCAUUACUUACAAAGAGAUAUGUUUCUGAUAUUGUCUGAUGAAUCCAUAGAGAAGCUCCUCAGCGUUGGUGCUUUUUGAAAUUGCCCUUCCUGUUGCUACAGCUGAGCUGAAAGUCUCCAGAAAACAGCAAGUUAUCUAGGUACCAUUCCACCUACUUCUCCUUAAAUGCACAUAGAAGCUGAUUCCAAACCCAGAAAAGCCAAGGCCAGUCUUUCCAUUUACUUCAGUGGGUUUUUCACAGAGAGGCUGCAAUCUUUUCAUCCUAAAAUGCCAAGCAAUAAGUAAUAUACAUUAAAAAAUACUUGCCUCCUCCUCCACUCCAGCAAAAGGCCUUUCAGCAAUGAAUUAAGUCCAGUUCUUCUGCACAGGUCUGGGUGGGAGAGCCAGCAUGGGACGUACACACCCCUUGUGUGUAGUGGAAGCCAGCUUGUCUAGGGCCUUUCCCUAAAGAUGUUCAUGGCAGGGCAGGUGGAUACUCUUUAUUGUAACUCCAUAGUCUGGAGUGUUGGGCCUUAAGUUUAAUGAGCAGGCGCUGGGCGAUGUUGGAGGCCUUGGAUAUGCAGCAGGUCAGACUAAAGGACCUGGUGGUUCCUUUUAGCCAUAAACUCUAAGACUUGAAGACAGAAUAUGCUUUAGGUGCAUGCUUUCCCUUCCAGUGAGUGUACUGUAAAAACCAAACUACUGACUAAAAGGCAAGAAAAGUUCUGCCUUCAACAAGUUAUUUAAUGGGAGAUAACAGCUGUACUGGAUUAAUGUCAUCACUGCCCAUGUAAUAUUUCUUGUUUUCUGAACAGAGGCAG
Molecule: long non-coding RNA, 1211 nt
Filed under: Chrysemys picta bellii (western painted turtle)
Lineage: Eukaryota; Metazoa; Chordata; Testudines; Emydidae
Description: lncRNA (ENSCPBG00000024796.1)
Source: RNAcentral